GGUUAAGCGACUAAGCGUACACGGUGGAUGCCCUGGCAGUCAGAGGCGAUGAAGGGCGUGCUAAUCUGCGAUAAGCGCCGGUAAGGUGAUAUGAACCGUUAUAACCGGCGAUACCCGAAUGGGGAAACCCAGUGUGAYUCGUCACACUAUCAUUAACUGAAUCCAUAGGUUAAUGAGGCGAACCGGGGGAACUGAAACAUCUAAGUACCCCGAGGAAAAGAAAUCAACCGAGAUUCCCCCAGUAGCGGCGAGCGAACGGGGAGGAGCCCAGAGCCUGAAUCAGCAUGUGUGUUAGUGGAAGCGUCUGGAAAGGCGCGCGAUACAGGGUGACAGCCCCGUACACAAAAGCGCAUGUGCUGUGAGCUCGAUGAGUAGGGCGGGACACGUGGUAUCCUGUCUGAAUAUGGGGGGACCAUCCUCCAAGGCUAAAUACUCCUGACUGACCGAUAGUGAACCAGUACCGUGAGGGAAAGGCGAAAAGAACCCCGGCGAGGGGAGUGAAAAAGAACCUGAAACCGUGUACGUACAAGCAGUGGGAGCUGCGUACCUUUUGUAUAAUGGGUCAGCGACUUAUAUUCUGUAGCAAGGUUAACCGWAUAGGGGAGCCGYAGGGAAACCGAGUCUUAAYYGGGCGUUAAGUUGCAGGGUAUAGACCCGAAACCCGGUGAUCUAGCCAUGGGCAGGUUGAAGGUUGGGUAACACUAACUGGAGGACCGAACCGACUAAUGUUGAAAAAUUAGCGGAUGACCUGUGGCUGGGGGUGAAAGGCCAAUCAAACGGUUCUCCCCGAAAGCUAUUUAGGUAGCGCCUCGUGAAYUCAUCUCCGGGGGUAGAGCACUGUUUCGGCUAGGGGGYCAUCCCGRCUUACCAACCCGAUGCAAACUGCGAAUACCGGAGAAUGUUAUCACGGGAGACACACGGCGGGUGCUAACGUCCGUCGUGAAGAGGGAAACAACCCAGACCGCCAGCUAAGGUCCCAAAGUCAUGGUUAAGUGGGAAACGAUGUGGGAAGGCCCAGACAGCCAGGAUGUUGGCUUAGAAGCAGCCAUCAUUUAAAGAAAGCGUAAUAGCUCACUGGUCGAGUCGGCCUGCGCGGAAGAUGUAACGGGGCUAAACCAUGCACCGAAGCUGCGGCAGCGAACGUAUCACUUAAAGCGAUUCAGCGGGUUACGAUUGACGGAGCGAAGCGACGUCAAAGCGUAUACAAAGUCGAGUCGGUUUAAGGGUACGUUCGUUGGGUAGGGGAGCGUUCUGUAAGCCUGUGAAGGUGGCCUGUGAGGGUUGCUGGAGGUAUCAGAAGUGCGAAUGCUGACAUAAGUAACGAUAAAGCGGGUGAAAAGCCCGCUCGCCGGAAGACCAAGGGUUCCUGUCCAACGUUAAUCGGGGCAGGGUGAGUCGACCCCUAAGGCGAGGCCGAAAGGCGUAGUCGAUGGGAAACGGGUUAAUAUUCCCGUACUUGGUGUUACUGCGAAGGGGGGACGGAGAAGGCUAUGUUGGCCGGGCGACGGUUGUCCCGGUUUAAGCGUGUAGGUGUGUGUUCCAGGUAAAUCCGGUUCACUUUAACACUGAGGCGUGAYGACGAGGCACUACGGUGCUGAAGCAACAAAUGCCCUGCUUCCAGGAAAAGCCUCUAAGCAUCAGGUAACAUCAAAUCGUACCCCAAACCGACACAGGUGGUCAGGUAGAGAAUACCAAGGCGCUUGAGAGAACUCGGGUGAAGGAACUAGGCAAAAUGGUGCCGUAACUUCGGGAGAAGGCACGCUGACACGUAGGUGAAGUGAUUUACUCAUGGAGCUGAAGUCAGUCGAAGAUACCAGCUGGCUGCAACUGUUUAUUAAAAACACAGCACUGUGCAAACACGAAAGUGGACGUAUACGGUGUGACGCCUGCCCGGUGCCGGAAGGUUAAUUGAUGGGGUCAGCGCAAGCGAAGCUCCUGAUCGAAGCCCCGGUAAACGGCGGCCGUAACUAUAACGGUCCUAAGGUAGCGAAAUUCCUUGUCGGGUAAGUUCCGACCUGCACGAAUGGCGUAAUGAUGGCCAGGCUGUCUCCACCCGAGACUCAGUGAAAUUGAACUCGCUGUGAAGAUGCAGUGUACCCGCGGCAAGACGGAAAGACCCCGUGAACCUUUACUAUAGCUUGACACUGAACAUUGAGCCUUGAUGUGUAGGAUAGGUGGGAGGCUUUGAAGUGUGGACGCCAGUCUGCAUGGAGCCRACCUUGAAAUACCACCCUUUAAUGUUUGAUGUUCUAACGUGGACCCGUWAYCCGGGUUGCGGACAGUGUCUGGUGGGUAGUUUGACUGGGGCGGUCUCCUCCUAAAGAGUAACGGAGGAGCACGAAGGUUGGCUAAUCCUGGUCGGACAUCAGGAGGUUAGUGCAAUGGCAUAAGCCAGCUUGACUGCGAGCGUGACGGCGCGAGCAGGUGCGAAAGCAGGUCAUAGUGAUCCGGUGGUUCUGAAUGGAAGGGCCAUCGCUCAACGGAUAAAAGGUACUCCGGGGAUAACAGGCUGAUACCGCCCAAGAGUUCAUAUCGACGGCGGUGUUUGGCACCUCGAUGUCGGCUCAUCACAUCCUGGGGCUGAAGUAGGUCCCAAGGGUAUGGCUGUUCGCCAUUUAAAGUGGUACGCGAGCUGGGUUUAGAACGUCGUGAGACAGUUCGGUCCCUAUCUGCCGUGGGCGCUGGAGAACUGAGGGGGGCUGCUCCUAGUACGAGAGGACCGGAGUGGACGCAUCACUGGUGUUCGGGUUGUCAUGCCAAUGGCACUGCCCGGUAGCUAAAUGCGGAAGAGAUAAGUGCUGAAAGCAUCUAAGCACGAAACUUGCCCCGAGAUGAGUUCUCCCUGAGACUUARAGUCUCCUGAAGGAACGUUGAAGACGACGACGUUGAUAGGCCGGGUGUGUAAGCGCAGCGAUGCGUUGAGCUAACCGGUACUAAUGAACCGUGAGGCUUAACCUU
RNAcentral lists this ribosomal RNA (2958 nucleotides) under Salmonella enterica. RNAcentral's name for it is "23S ribosomal RNA". Lineage: Bacteria; Pseudomonadati; Pseudomonadota; Gammaproteobacteria; Enterobacterales; Enterobacteriaceae. The record is from RNAcentral.